This 333-nucleotide ribosomal RNA is filed under the name uncultured bacterium. Its description in RNAcentral is "bacterial SSU rRNA". It matches the Rfam family "Bacterial small subunit ribosomal RNA", at positions 568 to 898 of the family's 1533-position model. The record is from RNAcentral.
CGUGUAGGCGGUUGGUCAAGCCGGGUGUGAAAGCCUGGGGCUCAGCCCCAGAAGUGCAUCCGAAACUAGCCAGCUAGAGCGCGAUAGAGGAGGGUGGAAUUCCUGGUGUAGCGGUGAAAUGCGUAGAUAUCAGGAGGAACACCGGCGGCGAAGGCGGCCCUCUGGAUCGUUGCUGACGCUGAGACGCGAAAGCGUGGGGGAGCAAACAGGAUUAGAUACCCUGGUAGUCCACGCCUUAAACGAUGGGUACUAGGUGUUCGGGGUGUUGACCCCCUGAGUGCCGCAGUUAACGCAUUAAGUACCCCGCCUGGGGACUACGGCCGCAAGGUUAAA